Panicum virgatum (switchgrass) is the source of this 3201-nucleotide RNA transcript. RefSeq lists it as uncharacterized. Lineage: Eukaryota; Viridiplantae; Streptophyta; Magnoliopsida; Poales; Poaceae. The record is from RefSeq and is a predicted model, not a curated record. The transcript is spliced from 3 exons.
CAUCGGUUUUUCUCCCCACCAGCUUCGCAGAUGCGAUUCCCACCGCCGACCGCCCGGAUCCCGCCCGGCGUCCUCCGCCCGCACGAUUCCCUCGGCGUCCGCGCCGCCCGGCUAGCUGCAACCUCCUCUCCCGCCGCCCCCCGUUUUUUCUUACGCGAGCCCCGCCUGGCGACGCCGGCCCACGCGAUUCCCGGCGCCGUCGGCGCCCGCGCCGCUCGGCGAGCUGCAGCUCCUGCUCCUGCCGGCCCCCGCGAUUCCCUGCUCGUCGAGCCCUGCCUGGCGACGCUGGCCCGUGCGAUUCACGGCGCCGCCGGCGCCCGCGCCGCCCGGCGAGCUGCAGCUCCGGCUCCCGCCGGCCCCCGCGACUGUCCUGGCUGGGCCUGUUCGACGUUAGUAAAAAACAGCAUCUCUUUCUCCUCUGUCCUCUCUCCACGCCUUCUCUCCUCGCUCUCGGUUCCUUUGCCAGCGGCGAUGCGGAGGCGAGUGGCGCCGCCCUUGCAAGUCUUCGUCGGGCGCUUCGCCGGCCGACAAGGUUCAUUUUCCAAGAUUUCCAGCGGUUCUGCUGGAACCCUCAUGCCCCAGGUCAAGCUCGCCACCUCUUCGACAUGAGGCUCAACAAGGUGGAAGUGAACCUUAGAAGGCUGCUGGAGGCGGCUCAUCGGCAGCAGAAUAUCGAAGACCCAUCGACAUGUAGUACCUAAUUUCCGCUGGUUAAUUCAGAGCACGCUUAAUGUACUCAUGGGCGGGUACAUGUUCCUCGAGGUCGGGUACGACAGGCCUGUGAAGCAGUAGUGCAGGACAGUUCAUGUCAGCUCACUUUGCUGCGGUCGCAGCAGGCACAUCUCCAAGGGAUGGAACCUGGCAGCUCAACUGCUGCACCAGGAUCAGUGCCAGCCUGUCCAAGGGAGCUCAUCGGCCAUGCCUGUAAUACGUUUGACAAAAUGCUCAGGAGGGAGUGCUGUGAUAUUUUGACAGAAGAUUUUGUAGUAUCGUUCCUUUCAAGCAUGCUCUUUCUUUCCCUUAACCAGUUGAUUGUUGAUUGUUCCUUAGACAUAGCAAUUUUUUUGAAGGUAUUUAGAUAAAGUAAUGCUUAACCUAUUUAAUCGACUUAAGCUGCCAGUCUGCCACAUGUUUUGUAUUCUAGAAUUCCUUUUGUCAGUAUAAAAAUUGAUAUAGUGAUGGCUAAUGAUGGAGGAUUUCUUCACUAGUCAACACAUAAUAAUGGGCUAGUACAGAUAAUAAGGAUGAUUUUUAUAUUUAAGAAUUAAGGAUUUCAUCAGCUAGGACUAUCACUAUCUUAGAAUAAUGGGUAGAAACAAAGCACUUCCUAUAUGUUGAUUAUAGCUGAUUCCAUAGUACAUUCAAUCCUUUGCUGCCAUUUGUUGAAUUUCAGCAUAUACGGUUAUGAUGAUUGAUGAGUUCUCUAGAUUGGAGCUCACUUUCUGAACAAUCCACCAUAGCCUAUUUUUCAGAUAGUUGUGGUGACCACAUUUCUAAUUAAUUCACAGUAGUUAUCUUUUUUUUUCAAAUCGCUGCGGCAACUGAUAUUUAUAAUUAAUUCAUGUAACCAAUUUUUCAGUUUGUUGUGGCAACUUCAUUUUUCAGUAAAGAUCAAGACUGCCAUUUUUGUUGGCUUCACACAAGAAGAUAAUGUUAUAUUGAGUACUACUGCAUCUGCACCUACAUGUCUAAUUUUUUGCACCUAUUCUAUCAGUAUUCAGGUCGAUACAUAUAUGUAAACAAUUUUAUUCCUAGAGAUUUGGUUGCCAGAGUAUUUUUGUUUCAUUUGUUCUUCCCAUUUUCCUGUUUCAUUAUUAUAAUUACGGUUUCUUGCAGGCUCAAUAGCUAUGUAUAAUGGCAUGGUGCUACAUAUAGUCUCGACUUUCUUCCUUCUUAACUAUCUUGUUAGCUGACUAUUUUUUGACAAUAAGGGAACGAGAAUUCUAUACUGGUUGUGUUCAGACCCUCCUAGUAAGAAUAAAAAUAGUUCGUGUAAUUUCUUUACUCCUUGCCCAUUUCACCUUCUGAACGAUAUUGUUUUGAAGCUUCUGUCUUGUGGCACUAGACCUAGUAAGAAAUAAAAAUAGCAUGCGUACUUUUUUUUGUUACUCCUUGCUCAUUUUUUUGUUGUUUAUGGAUUCGGAUGGGGGGGAAAGGCCAGAUCAGGCCAGAAGGUGCAUGGGGAGCACUACUUCUUGCCAGGAUUGUCUUUUGAAUCUGCAAUAGGAGCCAAGCCAAAGACACAUUUCUGUGUGUUCAUUUGUGGCUAGAUAUGAUCAAUUUUAAAUAGGUUUCAUGUAUUCCUUUGUGAUUUGGGCAUGUUGUGAGAUCAGGUGUGCGACGCCUCUUUUUUUUUGCAAGCCUGUCCUUUCAUUUUGUUUAUUCAAUUUUUGGUUCAGCAAUGAUGAGUUAGUUAAUUUUAUUCAUUUCACUGCAUCUCUGACUGUGUUGGUACAUUGGUAUAGUGCAAACCAGUGAUCUCCUGAUUAACAGGAGCACCACUGCAGCGACAUUGUAGGGUGGGUGUUUCGCCGACCAGCAGUGCCCACUGCCCAGGAUAUUUGCCAUCCUGCCGCAUUAGGAUAUUUGCUCAUCUCCCCUGAGAACAUAUCUUAUGUUUUUUUUCUUUUGUUGCGUUGUCGGUAUUCUCUGUUAUUGUGUGCUGCAAAUAGAAGAUUCAUAGCGAUGUCAACAAAACCUAAUGCAGAGGUGGUUGUAUCACAUCAUUUGCUUAAUUUCCAAGUAAAUGUAGCCCGGAUUUAUAUGUGUGAAUGCUACUGAUUUCCCAGAGCAAUACUACAUGCUAAUGCAUUUUCAGUUUGUCUUCAGCUAAUGCUUCAGCGUAAUGAUGCUUUCCACUGAGCUGAUCUUUGUGUUGUAUUUCAGGUCAAGUAUAAGUUCUUUUUUUGUCAGUUUCUGCUGCAUUUUAGAUGAAGUAUCAGCAAUAGUUGAAGGCCAUAUGAAGUAGGUCGACUAGCUGACGGCGACACAGAUCAGCAGAACCAGAGAACUACACUCGACAUCAACAGCUGAUCUAGAUCUGUCUAGGGACAACCAAAUGGGCCUUUGCAGGGACAAGGAGCUCUGUCUGUAUCUUCUAUUUUCUUUAAGACCACGGCUGUGGCUAGCGUAAAACUAUUGUAUUCAAAUUGGAAAUAUCUAUUUAAAUGCCCACGAAUAAGAUAAACCGGUUGUACCCAA